RNAcentral lists this long non-coding RNA (1099 nucleotides) under Anas platyrhynchos platyrhynchos (common mallard). Its description in RNAcentral is "lncRNA (ENSAPLG00000023519.1)". Lineage: Eukaryota; Metazoa; Chordata; Aves; Anseriformes; Anatidae. The record is from RNAcentral.
GGUGAAGUUUUAAAAUUCUUGCUCCCAAAGAAUAUAUGUCUUGUAUUCUCUCCAAAACAAAAUGCAAUAUAGAAAUCAUACUAAUUUCCAUAUUAAGAACCCAAUCUUUUGGGUUGCUUUUGUGUUUAAAAAAAAAAAAAAAAAAAAAAAAAAAAGCUUAUUCCAUAAAAGUGUUUUCAAACUGUGGAGCUGUCCUAGAAUCCAUCAAUGUGACACAUCUGUAUUGAAGUCGGUGCUAUGUCACUUCCACCUGCUUCAUAUUCACUCUAAAGUUGACAAGUAUCGUGUACAGGCUGAAUUUAUACUAUACAUGUCAGAGGGAGUACACUUCAGUUUCUUCUACCAAAAAAAAAAAAAAAAUGCUGUAAGAAGCAAUGAUGAUGUGAUGAUGCUUAAUUUAAAAAGAAACUGCAAGAAAGAAAGAGAGAGACAGAGAGCAGGCAGGAAGGCAAGAAAAAGAAAAAGUAAUAAAGAAAGUGGAACAGGCAGACUAAACUCACCAUUUUAUGCAGACUUGGAAUUCAGAUACCAAGCAAAAUUUAAGAAAUGUAACUGCUAAAUGGACAGCCUGAAGCAAACAUAAACACAAGGACAGGCAAGUUUUACCCUUUUUAUUUUAUUUAUUUAUUUUAUUUAUUUUCACACAGAGAAUGUCAAGGAAUGUAACAGAGAGGCUAGAGGCAGAGUGUAUGGCUACCACCUUGACUACUUUGUCAGCUGGGGGUAAGACAGUUGUCACUAUCCUUUGCAAAAACAAAAAGACGGGUUUAGUGAAGAAUCAGCAUUUUCCCUCUCCAUAGAUUGUGCCUCUCACUAUCAUUCAUAGACUGUAGUGUUAAAACAGAUCACAUAAAAUGUCUGUGCUGUAGAUAUGUUUUAUAAAAUUGUCCUUUUGUCUGGCAACAGCAUACAAGAUUCAAAUUAUUUUGUGGGUUUGGUCCUUUCUCUCCAGGUCACUCUUUUGGGUAGUACUUAAAAAGAUCUGAUAUCAAUUUGUAUUUCUGUGUGACUGCUACUAGCUCAUUGUAUUUCUUGACCACACCUCCAGUCUUAUGUUUGGUAUGCAUUAAACAUAAUAAAAAAUCAAGUGUCAGAUUCA